AAUUGCACUGUGUAGCCGUCUGCUGGAGUAUACACCAACUGCCCGACUAACACCACUGGAAGCUUGUGCACAUUCAUUUUUUGAUGAAUUACGGGACCCAAAUGUCAAACUACCAAAUGGGCGAGACACACCUGCACUCUUCAACUUCACCACUCAAAUGCUAAUACUGGAGACCGUGGACAGACCAAUAAUGCUGCUUCUGCAUCAGCUUCCAACUCCACCUGAACAGUCCCGAGCA
This 238-nucleotide long non-coding RNA is filed under the name Homo sapiens (human). RNAcentral's name for it is "non-protein coding lnc-COX17-2:3". The record is from RNAcentral. Lineage: Eukaryota; Metazoa; Chordata; Mammalia; Primates; Hominidae.